UACGGGGGGAGCAAGCGUUGUUCGGAUUUACUGGGCGUAAAGGGCGCGUAGGCGGUUAGCACAAGUCAGUUGUGAAAUCUCCGGGCUUAACUCGGAAAGGUCAACUGAUACUGUGCGACUAGAGUGCAGAAGGGGCAACUGGAAUUCUCGGUGUAGCGGUGAAAUGCGUAGAUAUCGAGAGGAACACCUGCGGCGAAGGCGGGUUGCUGGGCUGACACUGACGCUGAGGCGCGAAAGCCAGGGGAGCGAACGGG
Molecule: ribosomal RNA, 254 nt
Filed under: uncultured bacterium
Lineage: Bacteria
Description: partial 16S ribosomal RNA
Rfam family: Bacterial small subunit ribosomal RNA
Source: RNAcentral